Peromyscus eremicus (cactus mouse) is the source of this 1838-nucleotide long non-coding RNA. RefSeq lists it as uncharacterized. The record is from RefSeq and is a predicted model, not a curated record. Lineage: Eukaryota; Metazoa; Chordata; Mammalia; Rodentia; Cricetidae. The transcript is spliced from 3 exons.
CACUUCCUAGCAACUGCUGCAGCUAACGAUGCCUUUAGGGGAAAUCACCAACUCCGGUGCCAGGCUGCAUAAAUGCCGUAUGAAAUGUGUUUAUACCAGAGUAGACAAAGCCAGACGAACAGAUCAAGGAUACUAGGAUAAUAACAAGGGCUGCUACAGCAAUUCCAGUGACAGCAGCUACAAUGGUCAACACCGGUAAAGACCUGCUGGAUUUGGGCUCUGGAAAAGACAGAUAUGAGGACAGGAGCCAGGUGGACACAAGAAAACUCCAGCUACAACAUUUCAGCUCUUUGGAAUGUCUGGAAUGUCUAGGAACUUAGAGAACCUUUGCACCAAUGACAAGGCUCUGUUUCACUGCUGCCUUAUCACCCACCACCUGCAAGUGAAGAGCUCUGGGCUAAGCCACUUGCCAUCACUUGGCAAGGGCUUCACAGCUCUCCUCUUUGCCUCCGAUCCCAGUUCCUAGGUCUCCAUGUGGGGCUACACAACUCUAGCCUUUGUUUGUCUCCUCUUCUCCCUUUCCAACAUCUUGACAGAGUCCCCAUACCUUGGACAGUGAUGGUCACAGGCUUCGAUGAGUAUUUUGUCCUUCCUAGAAGUCCUGUGCAGUGGUAAUCACCACUGUGGCUGUGAUUGGCUUUGGAGAUGGAGAAGUUGCCACUGUAAUGAUGAAAUUUCACCGAUUUUCCAUUCUGGUAGAAUGUGACCUUGUUCAGGGGUUUGUUCCUCCAACCAUGGCACCUCAGCAUGAUGGUUUCUCCUUCCAGGAAUACCAGUUGAGGGGUCUGGAGCAGCAGCCAGUCUGAAAGACACAAAAAGACCAUAGGACUCAGAGAGCCUUGGCUCAGCUCUGAGACCCAGGCCACCCUUCCAGGUGGGAUAGGAUAUACUAAGGGGAGAGAGCUUUAGUUUGACAUCAGACAAUUUUGAUCUCUGAUUCUAGCUCCAUUCAUUUACAAGCUCUUCAGUCUUGGGCAAGUAAUAUAACCCUUCUGGGUCCCACCUUCCUCAUCUGUGAAAAUGGCAUGAUCAGAUUUUGUAGCUACAAUAGUUCCUGGUGCCUAACAUUCUCCUCCCUCUCUUGAGAGAAGGCAGCUGCCAUCCAGUCCUAACAGGAAGAAUACAAGAGAUGGAGGUGUAAGCCCUUUCCAGUAGGAAAGAGGAAGGAAUCCAGUCUGAUGGCUAUGAAGAGGCUAUAACAGAGCCUUCUGUUUGGGGGUCAGAACAUCUUGAACCUCCAAAAUGUUGGUUUCCUUGAUGAAUAGUAACAGAUGUGGAACUACAGUCCAGCAGGGCCAGAGGCAAAUCAUUAGCUUGCUAUGUACAUACUUUUGAGGAAAAACUGGGAUCCAGUGACAGGAGGGAACAAAGAGGGACAGUGACGAUAGUCAUCAGUGCAGUCUCGUGGUGGCUUUUCUGUGGAGAAAAUCUACUUUUUGCCAGGAGCCUUGCAAAACUGUUGAUCUGCUCAGCAAAGGUUUAGGAAGCCCUGCCCUGUUCUGGAUACUGCAAAUAUGGGAACGGAUGAGACACAGCUUUUCUCCUCAAGUGCCCACAAGCUGGCGGAAGAAAAAGAAAGCCAAGGACACCCAGGACGGUGAAGGCAUGAGGCCAGGAAAAAGCCCAUGCUCCCCUGAACCUCCGGAAAGAGGCCUUAGCACCCUCAGCUGAGCAGAUGAGCAAGCUGAACUCAAGGUUAAAUAAAUUAAUUAACCAUAUUUAUAGAGACGGUCCUUCUCCCAGCUCGCAUUCAGUUGUGGGCUAUCGGCAUUUUUUCUGAGUGUCAUGUAACAGAAGAGUUUCUAUGAAAUAGGGACUUCCUUUUUCUGUCACAUUCA